This 426-nucleotide ribosomal RNA is filed under the name uncultured prokaryote. RNAcentral describes it as "bacterial SSU rRNA". It matches the Rfam family "Bacterial small subunit ribosomal RNA", at positions 355 to 796 of the family's 1533-position model. The record is from RNAcentral.
UGGGGAAUUUUCCGCAAUGGGGGGAACCCUGACGGAGCAACGCCGCGUGCGGGAGGACGGCCUGUGGGUUGUAAACCGCUUUUCUCUAGGAAGAAGCUCUGACGGUACUAGAGGAAUCAGCAUCGGCUAACUCCGUGCCAGCAGCCGCGGUAAGACGGAGGAUGCAAGCGUUAUCCGGAAUUAUUGGGCGUAAAGAGUCCGUAGGCGGUUCAUCAAGUCAGUUGUUAAAGACUGCAGCUCAACUGUGGGCGAGCAACUGAAACUGGUGAACUAGAGAGCGGUAGGGGUAGAGGGAAUUCCCAGUGUAGCGGUGAAAUGCGUAGAUAUUGGGAAGAACAUCGGUGGCGAAGGCGCGCUACUGGGCCGGACCUGACACUCAGGGACGAAAGCUAGGGGAGCGAAAGGGAUUAGAUACCCCUGUAGUCC